This 336-nucleotide ribosomal RNA is filed under the name uncultured fungus. RNAcentral describes it as "eukaryotic LSU rRNA". The stretch from base 1 to 71 matches the Rfam family "5.8S ribosomal RNA", at positions 84 to 154 of the family's 154-position model. Lineage: Eukaryota; Fungi. The record is from RNAcentral.
GUGAAUCAUCGAGUCUUUGAACGCACCUUGCGCUCCUUGGUAUUCCGAGGAGCAUGCCUGUUUGAGUGUCAUUAAAUUCUCAACCUCAUCAGUUUUGUUAUGAAGCUGUGUGAGGCUUGGAAGUGGGGGUUUGUGCAGGCUGCCUCAGUGCGGUCUGCUCCCCUGAAAUGUAUUAGCGAGUUCCAACUGGGCUCCGUCUAUUGGUGUGAUAAUUAUCUACGCCGUGGAUUGGGCUUAGACUUGCUUCUAACCGUCCGCAAGGACAAUCUUUUGACAAUUUGACCUCAAAUCAGGUAGGACUACCCGCUGAACUUAAGCAUAUCAAUAAGCGGAGGU